AAAUUGAAGAGUUUGAUCAUGGCUCAGAUUGAACGCUGGCGGCAGGCCUAACACAUGCAAGUCGAGCGGUAGCACAGAGAGCUUGCUCUCGGGUGACGAGCGGCGGACGGGUGAGUAAUGUCUGGGAAACUGCCUGAUGGAGGGGGAUAACUACUGGAAACGGUAGCUAAUACCGCAUAACGUCGCAAGACCAAAGUGGGGGACCUUCGGGCCUCAUGCCAUCAGAUGUGCCCAGAUGGGAUUAGCUAGUAGGUGGGGUAACGGCUCACCUAGGCGACGAUCCCUAGCUGGUCUGAGAGGAUGACCAGCCACACUGGAACUGAGACACGGUCCAGACUCCUACGGGAGGCAGCAGUGGGGAAUAUUGCACAAUGGGCGCAAGCCUGAUGCAGCCAUGCCGCGUGUGUGAAGAAGGCCUUCGGGUUGUAAAGCACUUUCAGCGGGGAGGAAGGCGUUAAGGUUAAUAACCUUGGCGAUUGACGUUACCCGCAGAAGAAGCACCGGCUAACUCCGUGCCAGCAGCCGCGGUAAUACGGAGGGUGCAAGCGUUAAUCGGAAUUACUGGGCGUAAAGCGCACGCAGGCGGUCUGUCAAGUCGGAUGUGAAAUCCCCGGGCUCAACCUGGGAACUGCAUUCGAAACUGGCAGGCUAGAGUCUUGUAGAGGGGGGUAGAAUUCCAGGUGUAGCGGUGAAAUGCGUAGAGAUCUGGAGGAAUACCGGUGGCGAAGGCGGCCCCCUGGACAAAGACUGACGCUCAGGUGCGAAAGCGUGGGGAGCAAACAGGAUUAGAUACCCUGGUAGUCCACGCCGUAAACGAUGUCGAUUUGGAGGUUGUGCCCUUGAGGCGUGGCUUCCGGAGCUAACGCGUUAA
RNAcentral lists this ribosomal RNA (871 nucleotides) under Klebsiella pneumoniae. RNAcentral's name for it is "bacterial SSU rRNA". It matches the Rfam family "Bacterial small subunit ribosomal RNA", at positions 1 to 863 of the family's 1533-position model. Lineage: Bacteria; Pseudomonadati; Pseudomonadota; Gammaproteobacteria; Enterobacterales; Enterobacteriaceae. The record is from RNAcentral.